GAUGAACGCUGGCGGCGUGCCUAAUACAUGCAAGUCGAGCGAACGGACGAGAAGCUUGCUCCUCUGAUGUUAGCGGCGGACGGGUGAGUAACACGUGGAUAACCUACCUAUAAGACUGGGAUAACUUCGGGAAACCGGAGCUAAUACCGGAUAAUAUUUUGAACCGCAUGGUUCAAAAGUGAAAGACGGUUUUGCUGUCACUUAUAGAUGGAUCCGCGCUGUAUUAGCUAGUUGGUAAGGUAACGGCUUACCAAGGCAACGAUGCAUAGCCGACCUGAGAGGGUGAUCGGCCACACUGGAACUGAGACACGGUCCAGACUCCUACGGGAGGCAGCAGUAGGGAAUCUUCCGCAAUGGGCGAAAGCCUGACGGAGCAACGCCGCGUGAGUGAUGAAGGUCUUCGGAUCGUAAAACUCUGUUAUUAGGGAAGAACAUAUGUGGAAGUAACUGUGCACAUCUUGACGGUACCUAAUCAGAAAGCCACGGCUAACUACGUG
RNAcentral lists this ribosomal RNA (497 nucleotides) under uncultured bacterium. Its description in RNAcentral is "partial 16S ribosomal RNA". It matches the Rfam family "Bacterial small subunit ribosomal RNA", at positions 28 to 507 of the family's 1533-position model. The record is from RNAcentral.